This 490-nucleotide ribosomal RNA is filed under the name uncultured bacterium. RNAcentral's name for it is "partial 16S ribosomal RNA". It matches the Rfam family "Bacterial small subunit ribosomal RNA", at positions 30 to 507 of the family's 1533-position model. The record is from RNAcentral.
AUUGAACGCUGGCGGCAUGCUUUACACGUGCAAGUCGAACGGCAGCGGGGUAGUGCUUGCACUACUGCCGGCGAGUGGCGAACGGGUGAGUAAUAUAUCGGAACGUACCGAGUAAUGGGGGAUAACCAAUCGAAAGAUUGGCUAAUACCGCAUACGUCCUGAGGGAGAAAGCGGGGGAUCGCAAGACCUCGCGUUAUUCGAGCGGCCGAUAACUGAUUAGCUAGUUGGUGGGGUAAAGGCCUACCAAGGCGACGAUCAGUAGCGGGUCUGAGAGGACGAUCCGCCACACUGGGACUGAGACACGGCCCAGACUCCUACGGGAGGCAGCAGUGGGGAAUUUUGGACAAUGGGGGCAACCCUGAUCCAGCCAUGCCGCGUGUAUGAAGAAGGCCUUCGGGUUGUAAAGUACUUUUGUUAGGGAAGAAAAGGGAAGUGCUAAUACCACUUUUUGCUGACGGUACCUAAAGAAUAAGCACCGGCUAACUACGUG